Molecule: ribosomal RNA, 253 nt
Filed under: uncultured bacterium
Lineage: Bacteria
Description: partial 16S ribosomal RNA
Rfam family: Bacterial small subunit ribosomal RNA
Source: RNAcentral
UACAGAGGUGGCAAGCGUUGUUCGGAAUUACUGGGCGUAAAGAGCUCGUAGGUGGUUUGUCGCGUUGUUCGUGAAAUCUCACGGCUUAACUGUGAGCGUGCGGGCGAUACGGGCAGACUGGAGUACUGCAGGGGAGACUGGAAUUCCUGGUGUAGCGGUGGAAUGCGCAGAUAUCAGGAGGAACACCGGUGGCGAAGGCGGGUCUCUGGGCAGUAACUGACGCUGAGGAGCGAAAGCGUGGGGAGCGAACAGG